This 440-nucleotide ribosomal RNA is filed under the name uncultured bacterium. Its description in RNAcentral is "partial 16S ribosomal RNA". It matches the Rfam family "Bacterial small subunit ribosomal RNA", at positions 338 to 795 of the family's 1533-position model. The record is from RNAcentral.
CCUACGGGAGGCAGCAGUGGGGGAUAUUGCACAAUGGGGGAAACCCUGAUGCAGCGACGCCGCGUGUAGGAAGACGGUCCUCUGGAUUGUAAACUACUGUCCCCAGGGACGAAGAUGACGGUACCUGGGGAGGAAGCUCCUGCUAACUACGUGCCAGCAGCCGCGGUAAUACGUAGGGAGCGAGCGUUGUCCGGAAUUACUGGGGGUAAAGGGAGCGUAGGCGGGGAUGCAAGUUGGGUGUUAAAUCUACCGGCUCAACUGGUAGUCGCACUCAAAACUGCAGCUCUUGAGUGAAGUAGAGGCAGGCGGAAUUCCUGGUGUAGCGGUGAAAUGCGUAGAUAUUAGGAGGAACACCAGUGGCGAAGGCGGCCUGCUGGGCUUUUAAUGACGCGGAGGCUCGAAAGUGUGGGGAGCAAACAGGAUUAGAUACCCUAGUAGUC